CUACGGGUUGCUGCAGUGGGGAAUAUUGCACAAUGGGCGAAAGCCUGAUGCAGCAACGCCGCGUGCGCGAUGAAGGCCUUCGGGUUGUAAAGCGCUUUUCUGAGGGAAGAGGAAGGACGGUACCUCAGGAAUAAGUCUCGGCUAACGUACGUGCCAGCAGCCGCGGUAAAACGUAGGAGGCGAGCGUUAUCCGGAGUUACUGGGCGUAAAGCGCGUGUAGGCGGUUUGGUAAGUCGGACGUUAAGGCCCUGGCUCAACUGGGGGAUGCCGUUCGAAACUGCCAGACUAGAGGGCAGUAGAGGGAGGUGGAAUUCCGGGUGUAGCGGUGAGAUGCGUAGAUAUCCGGAGGAACACCAGUGGCGAAGGCGGCCUCCUGGGCUGUCCCUGACGCUCAGACGCGAAAGCUAGGGUAGCGAACGGGAUUAGAUACCCGUGUAGUC
Molecule: ribosomal RNA, 440 nt
Filed under: uncultured bacterium
Lineage: Bacteria
Description: partial 16S ribosomal RNA
Rfam family: Bacterial small subunit ribosomal RNA
Source: RNAcentral